UGUCAGGAAAUGCCCAGUGAAUACCAUUUUCAGCCAGUUUUUAAAAUUCCCCACAGGGCUGUGUUCUCUCCCAGCUUGUUGUGACUGACUGAUCUUUUUGGAAGCUUCUGGGUUCCUGGCACUGAGCUUCAAAGAUGUGCUGCUGCUGGGGAUUACAGCAUGGAUGGCACUGGGAUCUGCUAAUCCUUCAUCCCCACUGCAACCUCUGCUGUUCCUAUUCAAACAGCAUUUUGGAAAGGUUCCUGUAAAUAGUUUUCCGGAGUUGGAAAUGCUUUUAUGAUUGAAAAUGCACAUUUCUCAUGGGCACUCACGGAACUGAAACAGCGUGAUUUGCAAGCUUGCUAAAUGGAUUUCUUCCAAGCCACUCAUUGGGGUAUGUCAUCAAAGCUUAACAGCAUCAAAUAGAAUUCCAUCCAGGAAAAGUAUUAAAAAACCACCUCUGUACAGCUCUAUUUUUCAGUGAAUUCUCAGCAGCAGAGAGGUGAGGGGGUAGGAAGGGUGUUAUUGGAUUUCAGGGUUGUAGCGUGGAAACCAAACCCUGGCUUUAUUUUUUGGUUUGAUUGAAUUCCUGGUGAAGUUUGCUCAUGCCUUACAUUGGGAGAGCUCUGGAACGAGGCUGUUUGCUCAUGGAUUGGACUGGCAGUGCUGGGAAAGCACGAAACUGAAAUGUCAGAAGCUUUUAUAUUUGCAGAGAAUCUUUUUCUGACUUUGAUGAGGAAAAUCUGACAUUUUGGAAGUGUGGUGCUCAAGAAUCCAUGGCUUUUUCCCCCCUUUUCUCCCCUUCCUGAAGAUAAAAGGGGGCUGCUG
RNAcentral lists this long non-coding RNA (807 nucleotides) under Zonotrichia albicollis (white-throated sparrow). RNAcentral's name for it is "lncRNA (ENSZALG00000006090.1)". Lineage: Eukaryota; Metazoa; Chordata; Aves; Passeriformes; Passerellidae. The record is from RNAcentral.